GGAGUGGCACGGAGAUGUAGGGCGCCCCUUUUAGCUGCGCACAGAACGAAAGAACUCGUUUUUUCUUUAAUACCAGGAUUCUUUGGGCGGUGAGUGCCAGAGGGCCCCAGUCACCCAGAACCCCCACCCCGAGUCAAAGCGCUGAAAUGAGCCCCGCGGCAGGGGCCGUGUUCAUUACCUUUGAAAAUGCUCAGUUCUUCUUCGGUCCAGGGCGGGGCAGAAGGGAGGAUGCAGAGGGAGAAACAGGAUGAACUCAAACACAGGAGAUAGGAGAUGAUUUGGAUGAAGUGAUAAAGAAAAGGCUUCACUCCAAGAAAAAAAAGAAAAAGAAAAGAAAAUGAAAAGACCUGCAGGAGCAAGAAGCCCUUUCCAGGGUGUGCUUAUGAGGAAGAAGGGAAUUAUGGUGAUAGCUACCACUUAAGCACUUACCUUGUUCCAGGUGCAAUAACGGUGUUUUACAGGCAUUAUUUUAUUUAGUCCCCCAAAAUAAAGCUAUUACGUACCUUUUUAUCAUUACCCCUAAUAAAACUAAUGAUUAGACUGUUUAAAAACCUACCUGGGUCAUACGGACAGUUACCAGUGGACCCAAGAUUCAAACCUUUGUAUUUCAGAGUCCAGAAUAUAUAUUUUUACCCCUACUUUGUAGGAUAAGAAAAUGCAGCCCAGUCAACCAGCCAAGGUCUACCAUUUGCUAUAGGACACGAGAUGACCAAGGUUUCACAUAAUAAUGGUAAUUCAGUUCUGCACAUUAGCUCUCCCUGCCAUCAUCCAUCCGGUUCAUAGAAGUGGACAGGAUAUGAGGAAGGCUUCAGUGAUCACUGUCCUAGCCAGAUUCUGCCCCAGGACCACAAGCUUAAACUCCAGAUGCCCAAGCCCCGGCUUAUAAAUGGUUCCCCUCGCCAUGUUUCCCAAGCUGUGGAGGAGUGGGAAGGUUGAGUGGAGGAAGGGAUAUCUGCCUCCAACCACGCUAGACCCGACCUGCUGUCACCGCCCGCCCCAGCUGGAUCCAGAAUGGAAACCUGGAAUAGCAGGCAAAGCCACCCCCGACACUCCAUGUUCCUCCCCAGAACCAGCUCCCUCUCCUACCAGCUGAAUUUUCAGGACAGAGCUGCCAGGUGGCCAGUCCACAGGUGGAAGUGGAAGGAGAUUGAAAGGACCUGGGAAGAGGUUCAUUGGUCAUGGUGCCUGGCUGGUGCUUUCCAAAGCCAAGGUUGCUGGUGUGUGCCUGACAGUUCCAUAGGAAGUAGGGACUUCUGGGAGGGAGGAGGAGGUGGAAGGUGCCCUGGUCAGCAAAGUGGGGUCCAAGCCUUCUAGUCCCAACUGGGCACAUCACUUCAUCUCUGAGAGUCUCAUUUUCUUCAGCCACAACUAAUGAACAAAGUCUCCUUCAGCUCCCAAAUCCGAAUAGCUUUAAGGAUAUCCCCUGCUUGCUGCUUGUUAUUAUGUCAGGCCCUGUGCUAAGCGCUUUGCAUAUAUUACCUCAUUUAAUCCCCAUUUUGGAAGUCAGGAAACAGCCUCUGAGACAUUUUGUAACUUAGCUAAGGUCACUCAGUUGACAAAUAGUGAAGUGAUGGGAUUCAGUAGCCUCUGCUGCUAGCCACUGCCUCAGGGCAGGUAAUUAUUUCUAUGAAUUCAGCAGGGCCAAGCCAACUAGACUAAGCAAAAGAAAUGAGGAUCCAAAAAAAUUCAUGCGCUUUUUCAUGCGCGGUGAAUGCAGGAAAAGUCAUAUAUAUAUAUGGCUAUGUAAAUCAGCAACUGCAAUAUUUGAAUCAGCAUGAAUAAAAAACCAUUCCUCUGUCUCUUAAAAAAAUAGGCAGAUCUGUUUUCUUCUUCCUCAUUUCUAUCUGAGCCUCUGUACCAAGGAGAAACGGGAAUAAGACAGGACUAGAUUCUUCCCAAACACCAGGUGAUGCGGUCAGUGAGGAGAGCUCCAGAAUCAAAAGAUGAAGAAGGACCUGCCUCUAGCCCCCAAGAGGUAUGCUGUUCUUCCCACACAUCUCAGCUCUCUCCCAGCACUGAGUCCAGCCCUCCACAGAAAGGGGAGGAAAAUGCCCACCCCUAGCCCUGCCCUUCCCCAACCCUCCACACAUCACUCCUUCUUCUUCCUGCCCUCCUGCACAGUCUGAUAAUGGUGCUCUCUCUUGCUCAGCCCUUUAGCCCUGCAGACCUAGGACAGGGCAUGACUUGGGAAGGCUCCUGUGCACAGGGUGCACUGGAGGAGGUGCCCCAGGCCCUGGGCCAUGGAGAUAAUUGUGUAUCUGCUUCUCUUUUACCUUUUGGGUGGGUAGCCUCUCCUUUUUUAAGGGACACUGACUUCAACCAUGUCUACUAAUCCCUCAGUAUGGCUCCCUGGGCACUCAAGAGCAACAGUUCCAGGCAGGGACCCCCACAUCCUACUCUAAUUACUACUGCAGACACAGAGGAGACCAAUUCCAUUCCUUCCCUGGCCUCUUGGAUUCUUUGUUUACUCACCUCUUUCCA
RNAcentral lists this long non-coding RNA (2481 nucleotides) under Homo sapiens (human). Its description in RNAcentral is "HSALNT0182732". The record is from RNAcentral. Lineage: Eukaryota; Metazoa; Chordata; Mammalia; Primates; Hominidae.